This 253-nucleotide ribosomal RNA is filed under the name uncultured archaeon. Its description in RNAcentral is "partial 16S ribosomal RNA". It matches the Rfam family "Archaeal small subunit ribosomal RNA", at positions 474 to 727 of the family's 1478-position model. The record is from RNAcentral.
UACCAGCACCUCGAGUGGUCAGGACGUUUAUUGGGCCUAAAGCAUCCGUAGCCGGCUUUGCAAGUCUCCGGUUAAAUCCACCUGCUCAACAGAUGGGCCGCUGGAGAUACUACAAGGCUAGGGAGUGGGAGAGGCGGACGGUAUUCGGGGGGUAGGGGUAAAAUCCUCUGAUCCUCCGAGGACCACCAGUGGCGAAGGCGGUCUGCCAGAACACGUUCGACGGUGAGGGAUGAAAGCUGGGGGAGCAAACCGG